This 253-nucleotide ribosomal RNA is filed under the name uncultured bacterium. RNAcentral describes it as "partial 16S ribosomal RNA". It matches the Rfam family "Bacterial small subunit ribosomal RNA", at positions 524 to 776 of the family's 1533-position model. The record is from RNAcentral.
UACGAGGGGUGCAAGCGUUGCUCGGAAUUAUUGGGCGUAAAGGGUAGGUAGGUGGUCUCGUUUGUCUGGGGUGAAAGCCUUGAGCUCAACUCAAGAAGUGCCUCGGAAACGGCGAGACUAGAGUCCUGGAGAGGGUCGUGGAAUUCCCGGUGUAGCGGUGAAAUGCGUAGAGAUCGGGAGGAACACCAGAGGCGAAGGCGGCGACCUGGACAGGCACUGACACUCAACUACGAAAGCGUGGGGAGCAAACAGG